Long non-coding RNA from Fukomys damarensis (Damara mole-rat), 447 nucleotides. RefSeq lists it as uncharacterized. The record is from RefSeq and is a predicted model, not a curated record. The transcript is spliced from 3 exons. Lineage: Eukaryota; Metazoa; Chordata; Mammalia; Rodentia; Bathyergidae.
AAGUAAUUGAAAGAACACAAGGUCGGAGUCCCCAGGACAAGGAUGAAAUCAUACAAGAUGAAAGUUGAGAUCAGGUCUGACUUCUGCACAAUGACUGAUCAGGAGAUGCCAAGAAAAUGAUGUUAAAUUGAGCUAAAAGAAGUGCAGUUUUCUGGUAAUGUCUACACUUACAGAAGACUGUGAACAAGGGACCCAGUGGCAGUUUUGAAUAUGCAAUUCACCUCAUAGAAGUUCCCUGGAAAUAGAUGAUUGAAGAAAAAAUGAGCCUGAUUUCCAGAUGGUUCUUUAUGAUAAGUUUGAAUCACUUGGAACUGCUUUGUGGCAGCAUGAUAUUCCCAUUUAGGGUUGCUCUGGAGGAAAGGGGAAAAGCCCUCGUCCAAGGAGGUAACUGCAACCGGCGUAUCUCUUCAAAUUCAGUGUGGAGAAAGAGAACACUCCUCCACAUUA